CUCCCAGUGGCCACACAUUUUAAUUCCACAUCCCAUUCCCAUUCUGAUAUAUCUAUCCACGGCCUCCUCUACUAUCAAGAUGAAGCCACACUCAGGUUCGUGGGUUUGGAGACUGCGGAACGGAAGAGACUCGCUACCAGUUGGAAGUUACCCAGAUAGAAUAUAAGGUGUUCCUCCUCCAACCUGAUGUGGCUUGAUCGCAG
This is a long non-coding RNA of Mobula hypostoma (lesser devil ray), 203 nucleotides long. RefSeq lists it as uncharacterized. NCBI's taxonomy places the organism in Eukaryota, Metazoa, Chordata, Chondrichthyes, Myliobatiformes, Myliobatidae. The record is from RefSeq and is a predicted model, not a curated record. The transcript is spliced from 3 exons.